GCGAAAGUAGCUCAGUUGGUAGAGCGUCAGCCUUCCAAGCUGAAUGUCGCCGGUUCGAACCUGGUCUUUCGCU
This 73-nucleotide transfer RNA is filed under the name Tenacibaculum finnmarkense. Its description in RNAcentral is "tRNA-Gly". It matches the Rfam family "tRNA". From Rfam's summary of the family: Transfer RNA (tRNA) molecules are approximately 80 nucleotides in length. Their secondary structure includes four short double-helical elements and three loops (D, anti-codon, and T loops). Further hydrogen bonds mediate the characteristic L-shaped molecular structure. tRNAs have two regions of fundamental functional importance: the anti-codon, which is responsible for specific mRNA codon recognition, and the 3' end, to which the tRNAs corresponding amino acid is attached (by aminoacyl-tRNA synthetases). tRNAs cope with the degeneracy of the genetic code in two manners: having more than one tRNA (with a specific anti-codon) for a particular amino acid; and 'wobble' base-pairing, i.e. permitting non-standard base-pairing at the 3rd anti-codon position. The record is from RNAcentral. Lineage: Bacteria; Pseudomonadati; Bacteroidota; Flavobacteriia; Flavobacteriales; Flavobacteriaceae.